This 5473-nucleotide long non-coding RNA is filed under the name Sarcophilus harrisii (Tasmanian devil). Its description in RNAcentral is "lncRNA (ENSSHAG00000023363.1)". The record is from RNAcentral. Lineage: Eukaryota; Metazoa; Chordata; Mammalia; Dasyuromorphia; Dasyuridae.
CACAAGUGCAGAAUGCCUCCCCAUCUCUCUCAGCUGUUAGCUCAGCCCAGAAUGCAUGUUCCCCAGCUUAAUAACUGAAGCAAGAGUAAUAAAAACGUCCUUACAACUGUCAAAACUAAUCUGUUAAUAGGAAAGUUUGUGGCAAGCCUCCGGUAGCUCCUAUCUGUGGGGGAACAGGUUCCCUAUUUAGAGAAAAUGGAGCUGUUAUCCUUAAGCAGAGAGAUGCCCAUUGUGGAGGUAAUUACGAGGAGGCCCGAGCUGACCUGGCAAUGAGGAAGUGUAUCUAAAUACCUGAAGUGAAGGAGAGAAGCCGAAAUGAAAGCCGAGGCCCCAUCUGCUAGGCUGUAAUGAUUGUGCUAUUUGAAGGCAGAAAGGUUUGUCUGGAGCAGCUGGUUUCUCUCCAAGUGACCUUUUAGCAUUUCUGCUUUUGCUGUCUGACAGAUGUGUCAACUCAAUAAUUUCAAAAGCCCCUGAGUAAAUAACCAAUUGUGAGCAAGGGUGACCCAAAGUGAUGACAAAACAGGCGCACGCAGCACAUUAUGGAGUAUAAUACCUGCUGAAGGAAGCAGGGAUAUUAUCGGAAAGGAAAAAAACAUUUUAUUCUUUAUUUUUGACUAAAUGGCUUUCCUGCCCACAGAUCAGUUGUUUUUGAAGAGGGGAAGACAAGGGAAAAUGUGAGGCGAAUGGAAGGGCCUUGUGCUGGCUUUGUCCUUGGAACACUUUUAUGAGCUGGUUGGUGGGCCUCAGGUGGUAUGUCAGCCCUCCAAAUGGACUCCUGCUCCCUCACUCAGCACACAGCUGGGGAGAAAGACUGAAGGCCAAAGCUAAUUGGCUUUGUGAAUGAUUGGGGGACUAUAGAGAGGUGACUGCAAUCAGACCAGAGCUGAUGGAGUUUAAAGUCUUCCAAAUAGUUUUCAAAAAGUGAUGUAGAUGUUACUGUUAACUCCUGCCCAAAGCUGGAGUGAGGGAGAGUGGGAGAUCCUAUGCCAGAGCUGUAUACAUCCCCUCGCCUCUCUCCCUUUUAAUGUAGUAGACACUAUGAUUUGAAUUAACACAAUUACCUAAUGACUUCCAGGAAGAUAUAACAGCACCCUUGAAGGACAAUCAGAUUUACUAGGUGAAUUCAUAUUUUACCUGUUGUUCUUUUUAAACCACUAUCCCUUAGCUAAGAAAAUCAAUAAUAAAGGUUACUCUCCACUGAGUCUAUUCACCCCUCCCAUGGGGGAAGGUGAAUUUUUCAACCUGCAUAUCUAACUACUGCCCUUUCCAGUUUCCCUUGAAGGUGAAAGUUAAACAAAGAAUCCUUACUCUCCUCCUAUUUCCUUUUAGGAAAUCAAAAUGGGGAGGAAGAAGAGGGGCUAAUAAAUGUUUGAUAAAUUUAUCAAAGUAGAAUUAAAAGUUGCCUUCAAAGGUAAAUCAUAGAGUAUUCUUUCAAUUCAAUAAGCAUUUGGUAAGUACCUCCUAUGUGGUAGACACUUUGUACAUAAAGAUAAAAAUGAAAAAUUCCUGCCCAGAAAAAGCUCUGUAAUCUUCUGGGGAAAAUAAUAAACAUACAGAUAAGUAAAUAGAAGCCAUUCAGAAAUAAGUAAAUACUGUAUUAAUAAAUACAGUAAAUACUGUAUUAACAAUAUAAUUACUAUAUUAUAAAAUACUUUAGUAGUAAUAAGCAAAUGCUAUGUUAACAAUGCCUAAUAUAUAAUAGCCACUUGAUAAAUGUUUAUUGACUGAUUGGCUGAAAAAAUAGGAAGAUCAGGAGGGGCUUCAUAUAAGAAGUGAAGCAAAUUGAGGCUUAAAAGAAGGGGAGCAGAGAAGGGAAAAUAUUCAGAUAGAGAGGACCAUCUAAUGCAAAAGAAUGGAAGUUAGAAAUGAAAUGUCUGGUAUAAGAAACAUGAAAUGGGCCAUUUUGGCUGGAACACAAAAUGUGUAAAAUGGAACAGCAAAAAAUAGAUAUCAGAAGACAGAUUAUGAAGAAAUGCAAAAUGGAGAAAUUUGUAUUUUAUUCUUAUAGACAAAAAGUAGAGCCAUAUAAAGCUUUUUGAGUGAAGAGAGACCAGGUCAUCAUCUUUAUCAUCAUGUGAUCCUUUCCUUAGAAAAGUUACUGUUUUAAGAUUCCCAAAUCAAUAUGCUAAUAUUUGAUCACUUAAAUAUAAUGUCAACAGACAACUGGGCAUGAGGGGAAAGUUCUUGACCUAUAGUUAAGAGAGCUGGGAUGAAACUCUACCUCAGACACUUAUCAUCUGUGUGUAUAGGAAUGUCACUUUACAAUCAAUGUGGACUCAAGAAUAACAUUUUCACUACUUGCCUCACAAGAUUGCUCUGAGAGAAGUAGUCUUAUGUAGCGCACUAUACAAAUAAGAGCUGUUAAGAUAUGUUUCCAUUUUAAGGAAGUUGAAAAUUCUUUUAAAGAUCAAGAUAAUGUUAAGGGAAGAAUAACAAACUCUUCAUAGUGUCUUCAAAGCCCUCCACUAUGCCAUAAAAGAAAGCAUCCACUCCAGCUAGAUAGUAGUACUCAAUAAUAAUAGCUAAUAUUUAUAUAGGUUUGAAAAGCUCUUUAUAUUGUCAUAUUUGAUUCUCACAAUAACCUUUUGAGGUUGGGGAUGUUAUCUCCCAUCACAUAGAUCAAGAAAGUAAAUGUGGAUAAAACCAAGUGGGUUGCCUGAGAUCACACAUCUGCAAAGUGUUUGAAGUGAGACUAAAAUUCAGAGCUUCUUGACUUCUGAUCCAACUGCUCUAUUUAUUAUACCACUUAAACUCAAUAUCACUUGAAUACAAUAUGGUCAGUCUCAACCCCAAACAUUUUUAACAAUAAUUUCAUUUUUCCCCAAAUUACAUGUAAAACCAAUUUUAACAAUUAGCUUUCUUUUUUGUUUUUUAAGUUUUUAAUUCCAAAAUCUAUUCCUCUUUUCCAAUGCCUCUUCUGACACUGUAAGCAAUUUAAUAUAGGUUAUUCUUGUGCAAUGCACAUAAAAUAUAUUUCCAUAGUAGUCAUUUUGUGGGAAAAAUAAAAAGAGCAACAGGAAGGAAGGAAGGAGGGGAGGGAGGGAAGUAGGGAAAGGAGGAGGAAGGGAGGGAGGGAGGGAGGGAGGGAGGAAGGAAGGAAGGAAGGAAGGAAGGAAGGAAGGGAAGGGAAGGAGGGAGGGAAAAAGGGAAGAAGGAGGAAGGAACUAUGCUUUCAACUGUAUUUAGAUCCCUCCCACCCCUGGAGGCAGAUAGAAUUUUUCAUCAGGAGUCCUUUGGAAUUGUCUUAGAUCAUUUUAUUGCUAAGGAUAGUUAAAUCACUCACACUUUUUCAUCAUAUAUUGUACUUACUGUAUACAGUUUUCUCAUGUUUCUGCUUACUGCACUCUGUUUCAGUUCAUGUAAUACUUUUCAGGUUUUUCUGAAAUUACCCUAUUCGUCAUUUUGUGUAACACAAUAAUAUUCUAGCACAAUAAUAUAUCAUGACUCGGCCAACCAUUCCCCAGUUAAUGGGCAUCCCCUCAAUUUCCCAAUUCUUAUAAAAAACCAAAAAGAGAGAGAGAGAGAGAGAGAGAGAGAGAGAGAGAGAGAGAGAGAGAGCUAGUAUAUAUACUUGUGCACAAAUGAGUCCCUUUCUCCUUUUUAAAAAUUUCUUUGGCAUAUAGAUCUCAUAGUGGUAUUGCUAGAUCAAAGGUAAAUCCCAAACUUUUAUUCUGUUGUUCCUACCACUUGGAUUGCAAUCUCCUCUCUCUUCUACCUCUCCAGUUAUUUUUCCAUCCUUCAAAUUUCAUCAUAAACUUGAUCUCCUCCACAAGGCCUUUCCUGUCUACUUUGCCUUAUUAUAAAAAACAUUCUUUUAAGAGAAAUAAAGCAGCUUAGUGAGGAAGGGAGCAGAAAAAUGUGUUUUUGUUUAAAAGAGGUGAUUUAUAUUGUCAAAUGGUGUAAGGUAUUGCCACUGUAAUAGAUGAACAUUUUGAGUAGAAAAAAAUCUUUAUUUUAAUAUACAUAAUAUACAUAUAAUAGAUGUGAAUGAAGAAAUAGCUUUUAGACAGGAGGGAAACACUUUGGGAAUAUAAAAAAUCUAUGGUGUAAAAUAUAAAGACUUAAAUGUCUUUGCCUUGCUUGUAUAGGAAGAGUUUAAUGUCAUAAAGAGAUAGAUAGCAUUUUUAUUUAUUAAAAACUAGAGAAAUAUGGAUGUAAAAUAAUUACAAAAUAUCAAGCAGAUGUAUACUAUGGAGAAGAUAUUGGAACUUAAAAGUAUUGUGGCAUGUCAGCUAAUUUUUAUAUACAUGUUUUGUGACUAAAGAGAAUAUUUUUUAAAUGAGGAAAAUAUAAACAAAUAGACUGAGAUGUGAUUUUAAAAGAAUUAAUGAUUUGAUAUGGGAAAUUUGGAAAUUGCAGGGUUUUUUUAAAAAUAUAAAGUUAGGAGGUUUUCCUUUGAGCCAUUGAAGUAUAAAGGAAGUAGGUAUAAAGACCUAAGAAUAAAAAAAUGUUUUUUUAUGGGACCUAACUAUUAGAUUCAGUCAGCUGAGAAUGCCCUUCAGCACUUUUGGGGGCUGGAAAGGGGUGAAGUUUACAUUAAGGGUUCUUUGUUACCACCUCUGGCUUGAGGAAGAAAAACAGAGGAGGCUUUGCAACUGCUUUGGUAUGCUGGUUAGCUAGUUUCAAGAAUCAACCUGAGCUAUAUUCCUGUGAGCUACAUUCUAAUUGGACAACAGGGCAUCCAUCCAGAGAAGAGAAGAAAAUUUCCUCAAACAGUGAUAAGGAUGAACAAUUAAGCAGCAAAUAGAGAAAAAAUAUUGCAAAUGUUGCCAAAUGAGAAUAAUCACUUUGAAGCCUGUAGUUCAGAGUUGUGAAUUACCCUAAGCGCCUGAAUUUUCCUUACUCUAUGUUUUCCUCCCAGGUCAUUGUUAAACGUUGUAGAUACUGAGUGUAUCAGUGGGAAUGUGUGAAUUAGAUUUGUAUAUGUAUUGUGCUGUAUUUUAUUAUUUAUGCAUUUGACAUAAUAAUAUCUAUAACACCUUUUUGGCUUUAUUGUUAAAUAAGUGGGUAUGUUUAAACUCUAAAUAUGCCAUUAUUGCGAGUGGCUGGUUUUGUUUCAUGCAUUGAAUGGAUGAAGGGCCCUGUGAGUUACUGGUUUUGUAAAUCAAAAAAUGCAUUGCAUUGGAGCUCAAGAGUUAGAGUAGUAAGCAACAGAAAUCUAUUUACUUUCAACCAGAUUAACCCUAAUUCCCUAAGGGAAUUUGAAUUUAACUACUUGAUGUUGUUUUAUCUCUGGAAAUUUAUACCUGCUAGUGUGAGAAUAAGUUUGAGUAGAGAGAGAGUACAAGAGCAGCACAGUGUCUACCAUGCUCUGUGCAAGGAGUAACAGGAUAUAUGUUUCAUAACACUGUGGAAUGUUCAUGUAAAGGCACUGCCUUCCCAGACAACAACAUUUUCACAUUUUACACUAUCUUUCUAAUAGAUCACAUUUAUAUAAUAAGAAGAGAGGAGAGGAGAGAGGAAGAGAGGGAGG